UGUCAAGGGAUGGGAAUCGAACCCACGACCUUUCCGCUUACAGGGCAGAUGCCAUGACCACUAGGCUACCCUGGAC
RNAcentral lists this transfer RNA (76 nucleotides) under Cordylochernes scorpioides. RNAcentral describes it as "tRNA-Thr". Lineage: Eukaryota; Metazoa; Arthropoda; Arachnida; Pseudoscorpiones; Chernetidae. The record is from RNAcentral.